Molecule: long non-coding RNA, 699 nt
Filed under: Homo sapiens (human)
Lineage: Eukaryota; Metazoa; Chordata; Mammalia; Primates; Hominidae
Description: non-protein coding lnc-TRIM24-5:1
Source: RNAcentral
AGAUCCUGCCAGUCAGCCGUGCCUACACAACUGCCUGAGUUCUCACCACCACUGCCAGUUGGAAGUGAUCACACCUUUUCAGUUAUACUUCAAUUCCUUAAUUAAUCUUUAAACACUUUCAAAUAUGGAGAUUAAUAACAAAGUUCUUAUUUUGAGGGGCAGUUGGAUUCCGUUUUUUAUUUAACAUAAUUUUUCUAUCGUUACUGUCAAAUGCUAGAAGGCUGUUUCCAAGGCUGGACAGCAGACUGUCCUUUCUGGUGGAUUAUUAAUGACCGUUUCCUUCAACAAAUAAAACACACACAGGAAAAUGUUAAAGAACACCCCGUCUUCUUCCUAAAGCUGUUCAUCUGUCUCCCACGAUUCACUAGAUAUUCUGAACAGAUAAAAGUAGACCUCCAGAUUUUCACUUCAGGGCAUUGUCAUUUAUUUCACAGCACAUUUUCUGUGACAACUUUCCAAGCCUAGAGGUCGAACAGGAUGAGCAUGUCAGAGGAACUUUUAACCAGGCAUUGCAAUUGGAUACAUAUAUUUUUUCUUGGAAGAUCUGUUUCCUGGUCAGUCUGGUGGAAUAAGAAUUCUGAAAACACCAUCUAUUUUGAAAGUGAUUUUUGAUACACCAGAUGAGGAUCCAAAUUACAAUCCACACCUGAAGAACGGCCAGAAGGUUUCACCUGGGGUGAGGGCCAGCGCCUCAAAGGU